This 484-nucleotide ribosomal RNA is filed under the name uncultured bacterium. Its description in RNAcentral is "partial 16S ribosomal RNA". It matches the Rfam family "Bacterial small subunit ribosomal RNA", at positions 29 to 507 of the family's 1533-position model. The record is from RNAcentral.
AUUGAACGCUGGCGGCAUGCUUUACACAUGCAAGUCGAACGGCAGCGCGGGCUUCGGCCUGGCGGCGAGUGGCGAACGGGUGAGUAAUACAUCGGAACGUGCCCAGUAGUGGGGGAUAGCUCGGCGAAAGCCGGAUUCAUACCGCAUACGACCUGAGGGUGAAAGCGGGGGAUCUUCGGACCUCGCGCUAUUGGAGCGGCCGAUGGCAGAUUAGCUAGUUGGUGGGGUAAAGGCCUACCAAGGCGACGAUCUGUAGCUGGUCUGAGAGGACGACCAGCCACACUGGGACUGAGACACGGCCCAGACUCCUACGGGAGGCAGCAGUGGGGAAUUUUGGACAAUGGGCGAAAGCCUGAUCCAGCAAUGCCGCGUGUGUGAUGAAGGCCUUCGGGUUGUAAAGCACUUUUGGCGGGAACGAAAAGGACUGUGCCAAUACCACGGUUCGAUGACGGUACCCGCAGAAUAAGCACUGGCUAACUACGUG